Molecule: ribosomal RNA, 809 nt
Filed under: Chlamydomonas mexicana
Lineage: Eukaryota; Viridiplantae; Chlorophyta; Chlorophyceae; Chlamydomonadales; Chlamydomonadaceae
Description: eukaryotic LSU rRNA
Rfam family: Eukaryotic large subunit ribosomal RNA
Source: RNAcentral
AAACUAACCAGGAUAGCCUAGUAACGGCGAGUGAAGCGGCUAUAGCCCAACUUGAAAAUCUCCCUCUGGAGAAUUGUAGUCUAUAGAAGUGCCCUCUGUACCGGGCGGAGCUCAAGUCCACUGGAAAGUGGCGUCAGAGAGGGUGAGAACCCCGUCGGCUCCUGCUUCGGUGCUCCACGAGGUACUUUCCACGAGUCGGGUUGUUUGGGAAUGCAGCCCUAAUUUGGUGGUAAAUCCCAUCUAAGGCUAAAUACUGGCGAGAGACCGAUAGCGAACAAGUACCGUGAGGGAAAGAUGAAAAGAACUUUGAAAAGAGAGUCAAAAAGUGCUUGAAAUUGUUGAGGGGGAAGCGGUUGGAUGGCGUGUGUGCGCCCAGGCUCAAGCGGUUCUAACGAAUCGUUGAAUGUGCUGGGUGCUGGUCAGCUCGGGUUGCUUUGGCGGGAUAACAGUCGGGAACGUAGGUAGCCUGGCCGAUGCCGCCGAAGCGACCAAGGUGUGAUGGGCGCUCCGUCCUUCGGGAACUGCGUCCAAAAGGAGUUGGCAGAAGCCUUUCAACCGGCCCGUCUUGAAACACGGACCAAGGAGUCUAACAUGUAUGCGAGUUGGCGGGUGGCAAACCCGUAACCGCAAGUAACCUGACUGGUGGGAUGGCGUAAGCCUGCACCAUCGACCGACCAUGAGCUUCUGCGAAAGGUUUGAGUGCGAGCAUACCUGUUGGGACCCGAAAGAUGGUGAACUAUGCCUGAGCAGGGUGAAGCCAGAGGAAACUCUGGUGGAGGCUCGUAGAUGUGCUGACGUGCAAAUCGCUU